RNAcentral lists this long non-coding RNA (564 nucleotides) under Homo sapiens (human). RNAcentral describes it as "HSALNT0399001". The record is from RNAcentral. Lineage: Eukaryota; Metazoa; Chordata; Mammalia; Primates; Hominidae.
CGUGGCCUAAGUGUGCUGAUGGUGGGAGUGAAUGAGUGGACGGGUGGGACCUGUGAGGGGAACGCGACCCCGGGUCGGCGCGGGCAGAGAGGCGCGCGAAGCAACCGUGACAAGUGGUGCCCGACCAGGGACCUGAACGAGGAAGGUCUGCCAGAGCAGAGAAAGUGAAACUGAUCAGACGAACUACGAACCCCUGGACGGGAGAGUCUGCCGGCGGAGAAUAUAAGGAGAUGGACAAACCGUGUGGGUGCCCUCCAGGUGUGUGUGACCAUGGAACGGGAGACCGGAGGGAUCCAUGGUAUUCAACCGUGGGCCUGUUACCUCCAGUACGAGCCAUGAGCCAGCGGAAUCUGAAUGCAAAGACAGAACAAGGGCCGACCGGAGUCACAAUGACAUCCAACCCCAUAACAUGGGGACAGAUCAAGAAAACGACACAAGAAGCUGAGAAACUACUGGAGCGCCAGGGUCAGGCAAAAACCCCUGACUCCAUGUUCUUGGCCAUGCUAGCUGUAGUGUCCUGUGCGUCUAUAGGAUCGGGUGAACCACCAACCGGCAAUUGAAAGC